UAGGGAAUCUUCGGCAAUGGGGGGAACCCUGACCGAGCAACGCCGCGUGAGUGAAGAAGGUUUUCGGAUCGUAAAGCUCUUUUGUUAAGGAAGAACGAGUGUGAGAAUGGAAAGUUCAUGCUGUGACGGUACUUAACCAGAAAGGGACGGCUAACUACGUGCCAGCAGCCGCGGUAAUACGUAGGUCCCGAGCGUUGUCCGGAUUUAUUGGGCGUAAAGCGAGCGCAGGCGGUUAGAAAAGUCUGAAGUGAAAGGCAGUGGCUCAACCAUUGUAGGCUUUGGAAACUGUUUAACUUGAGUGCAGAAGGGGAGAGUGGAAUUCCAUGUGUAGCGGUGAAAUGCGUAGAUAUAUGGAGGAACACCGGUGGCGAAAGCGGCUCUCUGGUCUGUAACUGACGCUGAGGAUCGAAAGCGUGGGGAGCAAACAGG
Molecule: ribosomal RNA, 429 nt
Filed under: Bacteroidota bacterium
Lineage: Bacteria; Pseudomonadati; Bacteroidota
Description: Bacteroidetes bacterium partial 16S ribosomal RNA
Rfam family: Bacterial small subunit ribosomal RNA
Source: RNAcentral